RNAcentral lists this long non-coding RNA (239 nucleotides) under Nicotiana benthamiana. RNAcentral describes it as "long non-coding RNA (NBEN_LNC001074)". Lineage: Eukaryota; Viridiplantae; Streptophyta; Magnoliopsida; Solanales; Solanaceae. The record is from RNAcentral.
AAAGCCAAAUCAUAAGAGAGUCAAAUCCCCAAAAGCAUAAUUAAAUUUUGCUCCAAACUUCAAACAAUAGCUUUCAGGUUUCUUCUUUAUCAAUGAUAUAAAAUCCAUCACUUCGCUUAAUCUGAUAAAGUGAUGUGAAGCCAGGCACUAUCGCUUAAUCAGUGAACUCGUGUGCAUUAGAGAAGUUUGCGCAUCAAACGAUGCUGCACAAAGUGAUUCCACCAAAAAGAAUCGAUCCC